RNAcentral lists this long non-coding RNA (488 nucleotides) under Mytilus galloprovincialis (Mediterranean mussel). Lineage: Eukaryota; Metazoa; Mollusca; Bivalvia; Mytilida; Mytilidae. The record is from RNAcentral.
AUUAUAGGUCAAUGUACGGCCUUCAACGCGGAGCCUUGGCUCACACCGAACAACAAGCUAUAAAGGGCCCCAAAAUUACUAGUGUAAAACCAUUUAAACGCGAAACCCAAUGGUCUAAUCUAUAUAAAAUUUAAAAAAACGAGAAAUGAGAAACACGUAUAAAUUACAUUAACAAACGACAACUACUGUACAUCAGAUUCCUGACUUAGGACAGGUGCAAACAUUUGCAGCGGGAUUAAACGUUUUAAUGGAUCCAAACCUUCUCCCUUUUUCUGAAACAAUAGCAUAACAUCACAACAUAGAAAAACACACGAUAAAAUAUCAAUUGGCAGGCUUAACUCAAUCAAAAAACGUACAUUAAUACACUAUGAACGAAUAAAUUUGAUCUGCGAUAUCUGAAUGCAAAUGCACAGUUAAUAAAAUAUUAGGGACAAACAUUCUAGGCCAAAAAGCAAACAAACAAUUCCAAACAAAGCCAUGUCAAGACA